RNAcentral lists this ribosomal RNA (253 nucleotides) under uncultured bacterium. Its description in RNAcentral is "partial 16S ribosomal RNA". It matches the Rfam family "Bacterial small subunit ribosomal RNA", at positions 524 to 776 of the family's 1533-position model. The record is from RNAcentral.
UACGUAGGUGGCAAACGUUGUCCGGAUUUACUGGGCGUAAAGGAUGCGUAGGCGGACAUUUAAGUCAGAUGUGAAAUACCCGAGCUUAACUUGGGUGCUGCAUUUGAAACUGGGUGUCUAGAGUGCAGGAGAGGUAAGUGGAAUUCCUAGUGUAGCGGUGAAAUGCGUAGAGAUUAGGAAGAACACCAGUGGCGAAGGCGACUUACUGGACUGUAACUGACGCUGAGGCAUGAAAGCGUGGGGAGCAAACAGG